Molecule: ribosomal RNA, 1431 nt
Filed under: Cucumis melo (muskmelon)
Lineage: Eukaryota; Viridiplantae; Streptophyta; Magnoliopsida; Cucurbitales; Cucurbitaceae
Description: Eukaryotic small subunit ribosomal RNA
Rfam family: Eukaryotic small subunit ribosomal RNA
Source: Rfam by way of RNAcentral
UAGGUGUUAUGACUAAUCUAUUCUUAAGCUCCUGGAAACUCCAUUCGCAUUUAUCCAACCAUUAAAAUUAACAUUCUUCCUUGUAAAAGCUGUUAAGGGAUGCAUUUAUUAGAUGCCAUAGUAAUUAUAUAGCUAAUACGUGCAACAAACCCCAACUUUUGGAAGGGAUGCAUUUAUUAGAUAAAAGGUCGAUGUGUGAUAUGUGCAUUGCUCUAAUGAUUAAUGAUAACUCAACGGAUCACACGACCAUCGUGCCGAGGACGCAUCAUUCAAAUUUCAGCCCUAUCAACUUUCGAUGGUAGGAUAAUGGCCUACUAUGGUGGUGACAAGUGAUGGAGAAUUAGGGUUUGAUUUCGGAGAGGGAGCCUGAGAAAUGGCUACCACAUCCAAGGAAGGCAGCAGACGUGCAAAUUACCGAAUCCAGACACGGGGAGGUAGUGACAAUAAAUAACAAUACUAACAAUACUAGGCUCUUUAAGUCUUGUAAUUGGAAUGAGUACAAUCUAAAUCCCUUAACAAGGAUCCAUUGGAGGGCAAGUCUAGUGCCAGCAGCCAUGGUAAUUUCAGCUCCAAUAGAGUAUAUUUAAGUUGUUGCAGUUAAAAAGCUCGUAGUUGGACCUUGGGUUGGGUUGAUCAGUCUGCCUAUUGUGAGCACCGGUUGGCUCGUCCCUUCUGUCGGCGAUGUGCUCCUGGCCUUAACUGGCCAGGUCGUGCCUCUGCCUCUGUUACUUUGAAGAAAUUAGAGUGCUCAAAGCAAGUCUACGCUCUGUAUACAUUAGCAUGGGAUAACAUCAUAGGAUUUCGAUCCUAUUCUGUUGGCCUUCGAGAUCGAAGCAAUGGUUAACAAGGACAGUCGGGGGCAUUCGUAUUCCAUAGUCAGAGGUAAAAUUCUUGGAUUUAUGAAAGACAAACAACUACAAAGGCAUUUGACUCAACACGGGGAAACUUACAGGUCUAGAUAUAGUAAGGAUUGACAGACUGAGAGCUCUUUCUUGAUUCUAUGGGUGGUGGUGCAUGGUUGUUUUUAAUUGGUGGAGCGAUUUAUCUGGUUAAUUCCAUUAAUGGAUGAGACCUCCAUGGCCAGCUUCUUAGAGGGACUAUAGCCACUUAGGCCAAGGAAGUUUGAGGCAAUAACAGGUCUGUGAUGCCUUUAGAUGGUCUGGGCCGCACAGGCGGUACACUUAUGUAUUCAACGAGUCAAUAAACUUGGCCUAUAGGCCCGGGUAAUCUUUAAAAUUUAAUCAUGAUGGGGAUAGAUCGUUGCAAUUGUUGGUAUUCAACAAGGAAUUCCUAGUAAGCGCAAGUCAUCAGCUCGCGUUGACUAUGUCCUUGCCCUUCACACUGCCCAUACAAGUCUACUGAACCUUAUCGUUUAAAGGAAGGAGAAGUCGUAACAAGGUUUCCGUAGGUGAACCUGUAAAAGGAUCAUUG